Molecule: ribosomal RNA, 450 nt
Filed under: uncultured bacterium
Lineage: Bacteria
Description: partial 16S ribosomal RNA
Rfam family: Bacterial small subunit ribosomal RNA
Source: RNAcentral
GUGGGGAAUCUUCCGCAAUGGACGAAAGUCUGACGGAGCAACGCCGCGUGAGUGAUGAAGGUCUUCGGAUUGUAAAGCUCUGUUAAUCGGGACGAAAGAGCCUAGUGUGAAUAAUGCUAGGAAGUGACGGUACCGGAAUAGAAAGCCACGGCUAACUACGUGCCAGCAGCCGCGGUAAUACGUAGGUGGCAAGCGUUGUCCGGAAUUAUUGGGCGUAAAGCGCGCGCAGGCGGAUCUGCCAGUCUGUCUUAAAAGUUCGGGGCUUAACCCCGUGAUGGGAUGGAAACUACAGAUCUAGAGUAUCGGAGAGGAAAGUGGAAUUCCUAGUGUAGCUGUGAAAUGCGUAGAUAUUAGGAAUAACACCAGUGGCGAAGGCGACUUUCUGGACGAAAACUGACGCUGAGGCGCGAAAGCCAGGGGAGCGAACGGGAUUAGAUACCCCUGUAGUCC